UACGUAGGGGGCAAGCGUUGUCCGGAUUUAUUGGGCGUAAAGAGCGUGUGGGCGGUUUGGUAGGUCCGCUGUGAAAACUCGAGGCUCAACCUCGAGACGCCGGUGGAAACCAUCAGGCUAGAGUCCGGAAGAGGAGAGUGGAAUUCCUGGUGUAGCGGUGAAAUGCGCAGAUAUCAGGAAGAACACCCGUGGCUAAGGCGGCUCUCUAGUACGGUACUGACGCUGAGACGCGAAAGCGUGGGGAGCGAACAGG
Molecule: ribosomal RNA, 253 nt
Filed under: uncultured bacterium
Lineage: Bacteria
Description: partial 16S ribosomal RNA
Rfam family: Bacterial small subunit ribosomal RNA
Source: RNAcentral